RNAcentral lists this unclassified non-coding RNA (335 nucleotides) under Leptolyngbya sp. HA4233-MV8. RNAcentral's name for it is "16S-23S ribosomal RNA intergenic spacer". The record is from RNAcentral. Lineage: Bacteria; Bacillati; Cyanobacteriota; Cyanophyceae; Leptolyngbyales; Leptolyngbyaceae.
UUAAGGGAGACCUACCCGUUGGAAUACCGAACCAUACAGAAUUAGGUAUCUAACUGGUCAUCCCAAGGUCGAGCGAGGAUUGCGCGAAGCUUUCAAACUAUAUCCGGUUCGUUAAGUCAAAGAAGAAUGAAGCUAACGAAAGAAGGCUUCAUUUUUUGAUGACUUAAGAGCUACGUGGUAGGAUAAGAAGUUGUGCGAAUCAGUUUAACUGGUGAGUGCGAUUAAGUAGAACCUAGAAAAUUGCAUAGCAACAAAAAACUGUCAGGUAGUCGUUCUUUGUUUGAUUAAUCAAACAAAGAAACGAGCAGACACUAAGACACCAAUGUAAAGAUUGU